This 70-nucleotide transfer RNA is filed under the name Polyangiaceae bacterium LLY-WYZ-15_(1-7). Its description in RNAcentral is "tRNA-OTHER". The record is from RNAcentral. Lineage: Bacteria; Pseudomonadati; Myxococcota; Polyangiales; Polyangiaceae.
GGCUGCGGGCCGAGGACGGCCGACGCCUCUCAUACGGGCGGCCGCGAGAGUUCGAGUCUCUCCGCAGCCA